CAGUUAAAAGGGAAAGGAAGGCAAAUUUGACUUUGUGUUUUGUCGCUCUGGGGUAAAACAGGAAGGAUAGGGUCCCCUGAGCCAGGAUCGGUGACAGCUGCGGAUCUUGCCUCUCUCCGCGCUCAGAAAUGCAGUGCUCUGUCGCCACCUGGUGGGAGGAGCAGAUAAUACGAGGGGUGGCCCCUUCGGAUGCGACCACUCACCCUACCACAGAGAGAAUGUUCCCAUUCCAACCCAGAGGAAGAGGCAUCAAUGGCCUGCAUGGUGUUGUGGAACCCACAGUGACUCUCCAUACAGACUGUCCCUGAGCAUCUGAACGUCACCUCCUGGAACUGUUGUUGGUCCCCUAAGACCGCCCUCAAAGCUCCCUCCACCCAGAGACUACUAGGAUAUCAAAGAACUUCUCUGUUCCAAAAGAUCCCACCAAAAGGAGAGAGACAGAACCAAAUCACCUAUUCAGCAAGCAUCCACUAGAUGCCUGCCCUGGGCUGAGCCUGCACCCCACAGUGCUUCACAGCCAGAGGGUCCCUGGAACGCCACAAUUUUAUUUCAGAAAAACACUCAUUGCAAAUACUGGCUAAUAUUUUCUCAGUGCUUAUUAGGUAUCAACUGGGUUUUUUUGUUUGUUUGUUUU
Non-coding RNA from Heterocephalus glaber (naked mole-rat), 634 nucleotides. The record is from RefSeq and is a predicted model, not a curated record. Lineage: Eukaryota; Metazoa; Chordata; Mammalia; Rodentia; Bathyergidae.